UACGGUAGGGGGCGAGCGUUGUCCGGAGUUACUGGGCGUAAAGCGCACGCAGGCGGUCGUGUAAGUUUGGAGUGACAGUGCUCGGCUUAACUGAGCAAGGCCUCUGAAGACUGCAUGACUUGAGAACCAGGAGAGGGACAUAGAAUUCCGGGUGGAGUGGUGAAAUGCGUAGAUAUCCGGAGGAAUACCCAAGGCGAAGGCAGUGUCCUGGCUGGUUUCUGACGCUCAGGUGCGAAAGCUAGGGGAGCGAACGAGG
This 256-nucleotide ribosomal RNA is filed under the name uncultured bacterium. RNAcentral describes it as "partial 16S ribosomal RNA". It matches the Rfam family "Bacterial small subunit ribosomal RNA", at positions 524 to 777 of the family's 1533-position model. The record is from RNAcentral.